UACGGAGGGGGCAAGCGUUAUUCGGAAUCAUUGGGCGUAAAGGGCGCGUAGGCGGCUUGGCAAGUCAAAGGUGAAAUCCCUCGGCCUAACCGAGGAACUGCCUUUGAAACUGCUUGGCUUGAGGCCGGGGGAGGGUAGCGGAAUUCCCAGUGUAGCGGUGAAAUGCGUAGAUAUUGGGAGGAACACCAGUGGCGAAGGCGGCUACCUGGACCGGUUCUGACGCUGAGGCGCGAAAGCGUGGGGAGCAAACAGG
Molecule: ribosomal RNA, 253 nt
Filed under: uncultured bacterium
Lineage: Bacteria
Description: partial 16S ribosomal RNA
Rfam family: Bacterial small subunit ribosomal RNA
Source: RNAcentral